GCAAAAAGAUAACGAGAGAUAAAAACAGAGAGGCGAAGGUAUUAUAUGACCAAGAUAAAAGAUAACAACAGGGCUAUCUCAUGGCAACAACGUGUGCGUUCAGUAUUAACUAAUACUCUUUCGCUAUAGCAUCCAUACACAAAUCACUAAAUUAAAAGUCUUUGGAGCAGUGAGAGGAAUUUGUUUUUAGCAGUGCGUGGAUUUUUGUUUAGCAGUGCGUGGAAUUGUUCGAGCAGCGCAUGGAAUUUUUCGAACAGUGCGUGGAAUUUUUGAAGCAGUGCGUGGAUUUUUUCGAACAGUCCGUGGAAUCGAUCUGGCGUCGUGGGUCACCCCAGGGCAGCGUUUUUCAACCACUGUGCCGCGGCACACCAAGGUUGCUGACAGUACUCCAUCUAACUCUCUAGUCUACUCUCGAACCGAAGCACUGGACUAGAGCAACCUAGUUUACAGAGCAAGAUAAGGACCUCCAGGUGAAAGCACUCGCGGAUACGACAGAGUCCAGUUGGAAGGCAGGUCAUCAGUACUUCUGGAAGGCUAUGGUGCUGUGCCGGAGGUAUCGACAAAGAACACCCAGACUCCAGAGGUAGAUUUGUGCCGAAUGAGUCACUGGGCCUAUCUCCAUUGGCGAUAGUGUAUAGUCACACAGCACGAGGACCAUUGGAGGUGAGCAAGGACCAGUGGUCAGACAGAGCAACAUGGAUGCCCUGGACUGGUUACCUACACAGAGGCAGGUUCUUUGCUCCAUGAGAACUAGCCAAAUAAAACCGGUUACAUUCUCAGGUAACUGACAAGAAGAGAUACGACGACAAAGCGACACCCAGGGAAUUUCAGGUAACCAGUUCUUUCCUAAUUCCUUGUCUAAUUUCUGCUUCUUGUUGGUCAUUUCUGGUUUUGACUUCCAAAUGCACUUCCUUGAUCGUCUCUUUCUCUUUUCCAACUUACGCACACGUCUCUUUAAUUUCCUCUUUGUACUUUUCUAGUUCAUUAUUAACUUCCUCUAUGUAAGUUGUCAAAGAAGUUUCUCUUUGCAUAUCCUCGCCUAACUCCAUGUUGGUCUUUGGCGUUCCUUGGAGUUGUUCACCAUAUCAGUCUACUUUCUUGUUAAUUUCUUCAAAUACAUCACUUUUUCCAUACCUCAUUUUCUUUCACUACUUCCUUGAUU
Molecule: non-coding RNA, 1162 nt
Organism: Procambarus clarkii (red swamp crayfish)
Lineage: Eukaryota; Metazoa; Arthropoda; Malacostraca; Decapoda; Cambaridae
Source: RefSeq, a predicted model, not a curated record